CACGGGGGUAGACCACAGGGAUUGCCUCAGUAACGGCGAGUGAAGCGGCAACAGCUCAAAUUUGAAAUCUGGCUCCUUCGGGGCCCGAGUUGUAAUUUGCAGAGGAUGCUUCGGGUACGGGUUCCUUCCGAGUUCCCUGGAACGGGACGCCAUAGAGGGUGAGAGCCCCGUCUGGUAGGACACCCAGCCCGUGUGAAGCUCCCUCGACGAGUCGAGUAGUUUGGGAAUGCUGCUCUAACGGGAGGUAUACUCCUUCCAAGGCUAAAUACCGGCUGGAGACCGAUAGCGCACAAGUAGAGUGAUCGAAAGAUGAAAAGCACUUUGAAAAGAGAGUCAAAUAGCACGUGAAAUUGUUGAAAGGGAAGCGCUCGCUACCAGACAUGGGUUCGGCGGUUCAACCGGGGCCACGCCCCGGGGCACUCCGCCGGCCCAGGCCAGCAUCAGCUUUCCGUCGGGGGCAAAGGCGUCGGGAAUGUGGCUCUCCUUCGGGGGAGUGUUAUAGCCCGGCGUGUCAUACCCUUCGGGGGGCUGAGGUACGCGCUUCUGCAAGGAUGCUGGCGUAAUGGUAGCUAGUGACCCGUCUUGAAACACGGACCAAGGAGUCAACCUUAUGUGCGAGUGCCCGGGCGUAAAACCCCAGCGCGGAAUGAAAGUGAACGUAGGUGAGAGCUUCGGCGCAUCACCGACCGAUCCUGAUGUCCUCGGACGGAUUUGAGUGAGAGCAUAUAGGGUUGGACCCGAAAGAAGAUGAACUAUGCGUGUGUAGGGUGAAGCCAGAGGAAACUCUGGUGGAGGCUCGCAGCGGUUCUGACGUGCAAAUCGAUCGUCAAACAUGCGCAUGGGGGCGAAAGACCUAAUCCGAAUUCUUCCUGAUGGGCC
This 879-nucleotide ribosomal RNA is filed under the name Gibellulopsis nigrescens. RNAcentral describes it as "LSU rRNA". It matches the Rfam family "Eukaryotic large subunit ribosomal RNA", at positions 49 to 957 of the family's 3401-position model. Lineage: Eukaryota; Fungi; Ascomycota; Sordariomycetes; Glomerellales; Plectosphaerellaceae. The record is from RNAcentral.